RNAcentral lists this long non-coding RNA (458 nucleotides) under Sorghum bicolor (sorghum). Its description in RNAcentral is "long non-coding RNA (SBIC_LNC017281)". Lineage: Eukaryota; Viridiplantae; Streptophyta; Magnoliopsida; Poales; Poaceae. The record is from RNAcentral.
GGCAGACAGGGCAGUAGGAUUCUUAGUUUUUCUUUUUUCUUUUCGUGGGUGUUGAGGCCAGUAGGCCUUGUAUUAUACAAUGUUUGAUGUUGAAUGUAGACAUUUGUGUAAUUAUUCCUCAAGCUUUUUUCGUAAAUGUCUUGUUUUCUUUUUCCUUAUGCCGAUCCGACCUCGGCAGCGCGAGGUCGGGUGAGCUACUUAGAUUUUUGCGCUAGCCAGAGUCCCCGAGCCUAAGUGCUUUUCCUUUUUCCUUAGUAACUCUUGAAAGUCCGAAUUCGUUCCCCGACUCUAAGGUGAGUAGAGGCGGUCUCUGCUCGUGAGCGCAGAUCCUACCUCGGGCUCAUGCCUUAAGAUUUAGGGGACAGAUUUUCGGUUUCUUAAGUCUUUUUAGGAGGGAGGAGGAAGACCUUGGGUCGGGGUUCUUUUAAUUUGCACGAAAAAAGGAAAAAUAUUUGGAG